AGUGGAUCUGCCAGGCAUGCAGGCCGCGGGCAUGGCCCACCUUGCCGCGGAUGCCGUCCGUACUCUGGGCCACCGGGUGCCGGUGGAAGGGAAAGACUGCCAAGAAUAGUAAAGGGCUGCCAAAAAUGGAGAAGAUCCAAUGGGGGGCGAGAGAGCACCUGUGGCCACAGAUCUGGGAUAAAGCUGGCAGAGCCAACCAGGAGCUGGCACUACCUGAUGGAAAAAAACCAAUGGUUCCCAAACAGAAGCCCGGGAGCUGCCUCAGGCACCCUGAGGAGAAAGGAUGACGGGACUAGCAAAGGAAACCAUCAGCCCCCAUCAGCCAUCAUCACAGGAAGCAGUGUGUCCAUGAGGCAGAACAGGAGGUGGGGCCUGCACUGGGAGAAGCCCAGGGCUACAGAUCUCGGCCACCUGGAUAGAAGCAAGGCCAAAAGAAAUCAUGGCAACAGUCCUGGGAAUUAAAUUAUCAUGAACCAAGGAGCGAUCCUUUUCUCCUAAGAUACUUCCUGGCCUUUCCUCUAUAUAAAAUCACUCGAUCGCAAAAUGUCGAUCUAGAGAAGCUUCUCCUCUUCCAAAGAGGAACAAGCAUAGUGUAGAGUCAAAGAUGCUAACAGGAGAAAUAAAGGAGGAAAAGGG
Long non-coding RNA from Lutra lutra (Eurasian river otter), 636 nucleotides. RefSeq lists it as uncharacterized. NCBI's taxonomy places the organism in Eukaryota, Metazoa, Chordata, Mammalia, Carnivora, Mustelidae. The record is from RefSeq and is a predicted model, not a curated record. The transcript is spliced from 2 exons.